Molecule: long non-coding RNA, 1161 nt
Filed under: Chrysemys picta bellii (western painted turtle)
Lineage: Eukaryota; Metazoa; Chordata; Testudines; Emydidae
Description: lncRNA (ENSCPBG00000010608.1)
Source: RNAcentral
GUUCCCUGUAUUCUGCGCACUUGCAAGGCUGUCCACCCAUCUUGUAACUACCGCACACGUCACAUGGCUGGGAGCGUGGCCAGCACCCGGGUCCUGCUCUGGAGGCUGGGCCCUCAACCUGCUGAAACUGUGGCUGCUGUCAGCGCCAGGGGACUGGAUGAGACGUCAGUCACAGAUGGAGGGUUGUGUCUGACUGAUUGCCUCAGCUCCAGUGUGAUGGACAACCCAGACCUUCUACUGUGCCUGGUGAUGGUGAUGUACACAGGAGGAACACGGAUCAAAUCAGCUGCUGGACCAGAAUCCCUCAAUCUCAGGUAAGUAGGGGUGAGUGAUGUGUUGCCUCUCGGAGACUGCUCAUGACGACCGAUGACCGACGUGGACAUGGGCUGCCACCAUGAUGGACAGCACCUUAUAGCCUGUGAGAGGAACUUAUAUACUCUCUUGUCUCUGGGCAGAAUUGCCAGAUCAUGGGACCAAUCUUUUCCCACCUUACAGAAGAAGGGCACCAAAAGCCCAACAAGAAGGGAGACCAACAUGGCUCCCAGACAACUUUACAGAAUUCAAAAUGUGAUUGUGAACAAUUUUUAAAACGAUGCCAUAACACAAUAUACAGUUAGAAUACGUAACGUAACAGUUUUCCCAUACAUUGAGGCCUCAACUAAGAUCAGGUCUGUACACAUACACAGCCCUGGUGUACACACAAAGUUGCACUAGUUUAAAGGAGUGAUGUUAAACCAAUACAGUCUCACUGGAACUACUUUGUGCAUAUUGGUUUAAACCUGAUUUAGUUUAGUGGGAUUUGAAGAAUGCUGUAAUCUAUUGCAUCUCCAUCUACAUCCACAGAGAAAUCCACCUGAUCAAGUGCAGAGAGGAUACUCAGGCCCUAAAACAGGAAAUGAAAUAGCCAUUGUUUAUAAAUAUUGUAGUCUUGUGUUCCCUCUGCUGCUUCUUCAGCUGCAGUCUUACAAUUAACUUUACACAGCUGUACUGAGAUCAUCAGUGAUGUUGGAAUGCACAUUAAAAUUCAAACAAAAUGUUAUAUUUCUAACUCUGUUCAAAAAAAGGAUCAAAAAUACGAUGAAGGAGAAAAUGACAACAUGGAUAGUUCAUAUUCAAGUUUCCAUGAACGUGAUAUAAACAAUAAGAGUUAAAUAUAUAUAC